RNAcentral lists this ribosomal RNA (253 nucleotides) under uncultured bacterium. RNAcentral describes it as "partial 16S ribosomal RNA". It matches the Rfam family "Bacterial small subunit ribosomal RNA", at positions 524 to 776 of the family's 1533-position model. The record is from RNAcentral.
UACGUAGGUGGCAAGCGUUGUCCGGAUUUACUGGGCGUAAAGAGCGCGCAGGCGGUCGUUCAAGUCGCGUGUGAAAGCCCCCGGCUCAACUGGGGAGGGUCACGCGAUACUGAUCGACUCGAAGGCAGGAGAGGGAAGUGGAAUUCCCGGUGUAGUGGUGAAAUGCGUAGAUAUCAGGAGGAACACCGAUUGCGAAGGCAGCUCGCUGGGACGUGACUGACGCUGAGACGCGAAAGCGUGGGGAGCAAACAGG